AAUUAAUCGAAUGGUUUAAGCUAUAGGUUUUAUGCCAAAAUAUUCAAAUAAAUGGUUCAAGUUAGGGGUUUUUUAAAAAAAAACAUUUGAAGUAUUGGAUGGAUCCUUACUUCAAUCUGAGCAGUUUUGGAGUUAACAGCUUGUUUUGGAUACUCUCUAAUACUGCUUUUCGAAAUAGAGUUGUUAUAGGUGCUACUGGUGUCGACCGAUAGUAGCUAGGUUAAAAAUUGAAACUGUUUCAAUCUUAAAACUUGUAAAUAAUAGUGUUUAAGAUUGUUUUUGGUUUCAUGUCAGCAUCUAUUUUGACAAAGCUGACUCUGUUUCCGGCUGAAUUUGUUUUGAAAUUGCUUCAGUUCGCCAUUUCAAUAUAAGCAACUGCUAAACUUGCAAAGACUCGUAAAGAUGGUAACAACAGCUGAAGUUAUUCUGAAUAAUCGCAUUUUUACAGAAGCUGUAUUUAUUUCAAGCAAAACAGUUUUGACAGAGCUAAAUUGGUCUCAAGCAAUCCGUAUCUACAAAUGCGGAAUUAGAAUUGCAGCAAAACCAAAAUGAUAAAUAUUUUUGCUUUUUGACGUAGAAUCAUUGGGCAUACAUUUCACAGUUGGAGAAAAAUUGCAUAAUAGUAAAGUCGCAAAAUCGUAAUGAGAAUUGGUUCACAAAUAAAAGAUAAUUUUAAUUUCUAAAAUUUCUCCUUCAUAAAGUUUUGAGUCAUCAUCCUACUCGCUUUCUUCAUUAAUUACCAUCGCUGCCAUCAUCAACAUGCAUCUUUGAUGCAUCAGGAUUUACCUGAAGUGAGUGAGCAAAAAAAGUCCUCCUUUAAUUAAGGGACCUUGCAAAAAAAAAGAAGAAAAAAACAAGAGGUCACCCUCCUCCUCAAACACCUUCAUCUUCAUUGCGUUUUUAUUCUUUUCCUCCUUUCCAGGCACGAGAGAGGAAAAAAAAAAAAAAAAAAAAAAACAACAACAACAAAGGGAGCAUGCUUUUCUGCCUCUUCAUCUGAAAAUGGACACCGAAAUAAAAAGAUCCAAAUAUUUUUAUAAAUUGUACAAUUAGGUAAAGAUUGAUCAUUGACCCAUGGGGUGUAUUUCACUGGUUAGGUUGAUGUGAUUAGUAAAAUACACUUUAUUUUUAUAAAUUGUACAAUUAGGUAAAGAUUGAUCAUUGACCCAUGGGGUGUAUUUCACCAGUUACAUUGAUGUUAUUAGUAAAAUACACUUUAUUUUUAAAUAGAUGGGGUGUAUAUUCUAUACCCAAUGAAUGUAUAAGUAAGAGUUUUCAAAAAAGAAAAAAAAGAAAAAAAAAAGGCAUUGGCGCGUGCGUUCUCUCGAAGCUCCUCUGGAACCAUCAGCNAAUAAAAAUUAAUAUAUUUUUCACCAAUGGGAGUCUAACGUAAAAAAAAAAAAGAAAAAGAAAAAGAAAAUGAUAGUAUAAAGAGGUGUAAAUUAAGAAAAUAAUUUUUUUAUGGCUAUUAAGAAAAUCAGUGCUAAUUAAAAAAGACAAUUUCGAAUUGUGGUGCAUUGCUGAAGGGGUCUCCAUACUUUUUUUUUUCCUUUUUUUUGGGGCAAUCAAAAUUUAUACAUAUCAAUUGCUCAAAUAUAAUAGUAUCUAAGAAUAAUAUCGUGGGGUGAAAAUCGUUUUGAUAUUACUCAAUCUAAUUGGACUCUGAAGCCAAAGAUUAUCGGAUUUGGAUUGAAAUUUUACUAUCCAUUACGGACUCAAAUUUAGAUUUAGAUCCGAAAUUUGAAAUUCUUUUGGGUUCAAAUUAAGAUUCACUAUUCCUUUUCCAAUUCGGAUUCAAAAUUAUUCGAAACAAAAACUGAUUUUGACUGCUUUUUUAAUUUCUUAAGUAAUGCCAUUUAAGCAUCUUUCAGAAAUCUCAAACAUCUUCAUUGCAUUUUCUUCACUUGGAAGAGAAAAUAAUAAUAAUAAUAAUAAUAAUAAUAAUAAUAAUAGUAAUAAUAAUAAUAAGUCCCUCCUUUUCCACCUUUUCAUUUGAAAAUGGACACUGAAACAACAAGAAAAAAUUUCUUCAAUACCCUUCCAAGUAGUUCUAAUUUUAUGAAUACCCUUCAAAAUUUUAAAAUUUUCAUACUUGCCCUCCAAAAGUAUGGAAAAGUUUCAAAAAUACUCUCACUGUCACUGUCAGUAAUCUGUUAUAUUAACUUCAAAAUACCAAUUUUACCCCCUAUUUUAAUUUAAUCACCACUCUCACAAUUUUUUUUUUGAAUAUAUGGAGACCCCUCAAUUACAACCCAUUAUGAAAUACCCUCCUAAAUUUAACUUUUUAAUUAAAGUCUUCUUAAAUUUUAUUUUCUUAAAUUGAAUGAUUUUUUUAUUAUUAAAUUAGAGAUUUUAUCUAAUCUAUUAAUGAUUCAAACAAAUUUAAUAAUUUUAAUAACUUCGUAGUAUAUAAAAUUAAAUAAGUUUCUGUUCAAAAAAGAAAAUUAAUAAAAACUUCAAAGAUUUACUUAAAUGACCUAUAGUUGAUAGUUUUAGUAUAAAUAUCAAAAAAUAAGUGAAAGAAGUUUGAUUUUUAAACAAAAGGGAAAACUUCAAAAAACCCCUCUGUGGUUUCGUAGUUUCUCACUUUGCUCCCCUGUAGUUUAAAAUGUAUCAAAUUGCCCCCAUAUGAUUUCGUUUUUAUCUUUUUGGUAGCUUUUUCGUUAAUAUUUCAUUAAAUUAUAUACAAAAAAAACUUCAGAUACCCAUCUAGAUUUAUCAAAUAUUCACUUUAGUACUCUUUAAAUUAACUUUAUCACUGAUUUAAGAAAAAAUAAUAAUAAAAUUGAUAAAAAAAAGAGAAAAAAGAAAUCACGGGGGGCAAAUUGAUACAUUUUAAACCACAGGGGGGCAAAGUGAGAAACUACGUAAAUACAGGGGGGUUUUUGAAGUUUUCUCUAAACAAAAAGUGAACAAAUUAAGGGCAAAAUGGUAAUUUCAUAUUUUGAAAUAAAAUAAAAAAAUGCUAUGUUGACGGAAGUUAGCAAAAAAUAACGGUGAGGCUAUUUAUGAAAGCAAUAUUAUAUUUAGAGGGGCAUUUGUGACAUUUUAAAAAUUCAAUGGGUGUUUAUGAUAUUUCAUAACUUUGUGAGGGUACAAAUGAAAUUAACCCAAACAACAAGAUCCAAAGAGCAAAUUUGAAACUGAUAAUAUUUUUAUAAUCUGUACAAUUGGAUAAAGAUUGAUCAUUGACCCAUGGGGUGUAUUUCACUAGUUACAUUGAUGUGAUUAAUUAGUAAAAUACACUUUAUUUAUUUUUAAAUAGGUGGGGUGUGUAUUCGAUACCCAAUGAAUGUAUGAGUAAGAGUUUUCUAAAAAAAAAAAAAAGAGGAGGAACAAAAAAAGCAUUGACGCGUGCGUUCCGGCCCCCACCAUAAUGAUUGGAGACACAGCACAAUAAUUGGAGCAAACAUCUUCCACUGGCGGAGAGCAUCCCCUUAUUAUCCUCUGCUUCUCUGUAGGAGGACGUUCGUAUUGAGAAGGAUUAGGCAGCAGCACGCGCGAUGGCGGAGGGGAUCGCAUUCGACUUGGUCAAAGGAGUGCUGGGCAAGCUGGGCUCCGCUCUCUGGGACGAAAUCGGGCUGCUGCGGAGCUUCAAGGACGACGCGGACGACCUCAGAAGCAACUUCUCGGCGAUACAGGCGGUGCUUCUCGACGCCGAGGAGCGAAGCAGCGCUGGGAAGGAGACCCACGCGCUGCGCGACUGGCUGCGCAAACUGAAGGACGCCGCCUACGACCUGCUGGACGAGAUCCGGACGCAACAGCAGUAUCCCGAGGUGCAGAAUCAUCAACACCAGCCAGCUGGAAAGGUACGUGGAUUUCUGUCCCGCGCUAAUCCGAUGCAUCUGAAGUUUAAGGUCAAGAUGGCGCACAGGAUGAAAGCGCUCCGAGAAAAGAUCGGUAAGAUCGCGAAACAGAGGCAUGAUUUCGGUCUUGCCGAAGCUGGCCCUGGUCGGCAGGCUGAGUUCAAACGCCCUGACACAUAUUCAGUCGUCGACGAAAAGACAAUAGUUGGGAGAGAUGGUGAUAAAGAGGAAAUUGUGAAGCUCCUGUUAGAGACGGGCGGCGAUCACGACGUGUCGGUCAUUCCGAUAGUGGGAUUGGGAGGAUUGGGGAAGACGACGCUCGCUCAGAUGGCCUUCAACGACGGGCGGGUUACGGAUCAGCAGUGCUUUGAUCUAUGGGUGUGGGUCUGCGUGUCUACUGAUUUCGACAUGAAGACGAUUGCAAAGCCGGUGAUAUCUGCAGCCGGAGAGAAUUGUGCUCUUGAUAACUCGGAUGCCGUCGCCAGUUGUCUUGUUAGGAUCUUUAGCCAGAAGAGAUUUUUGCUGGUGCUGGACGAUGUAUGGAACGAAGAUCAGGAAAAGUGGGAGAAUUUGAAGGUCUUAUUUAAGGACAGCAAGAAGGGAAGUAAAAUUUUAGUCACCACGCGGAGCAAGAAGGUUGCCACGAUAAUGAAAACAGUCGAACCACACCAUGUGAAAGUCUUAUCAGAUGAUGAUUGUUGGACAUUGUUCAAAAGACGGGCAUUCGAGAAAGGGGAAGAGAACGACUAUCCGAGUUUGGUGGAAAUUGGAAAGCAGAUAGUAGAGAAGUGUGGUGGCUUGCCUUUAGCAGCAAAUGCCUUAGGAAGUAUGAUGCGCUUUAAGAGGACAGAGAAUGAAUGGUCCGCUACUAGAGAUAGCGAAAUAUGGAGGUUGGAAGAAGGAACUAUUUUACCAUCAUUAAAAUUGAGCUACAUUCAGAUGCCGUCGGCUUUGAAGCAGUGCUUUGCUUACUGCUCCAUUUUCCCCAAAGACUAUGAGAUUGACAAGGAUGACUUGAUCCGGCAGUGGAUUGCUUUAGGCUUCAUUUCAUCGCAUGAAACAUGGACUUCGAUGGAAGAUAUCGGGAAUGAGUACUUUAACGAUCUAUUAUGGAUGUCUUUCCUUCAGGACGUGGAGGAGAAUUAUAGAGGGGUCACCUGCUGCCGGAUGCAUGAUUUAGUGCACGACCUCGCACAAUCUGUGGCAAAAGAAGAAGUUGCUGUUAUAAGUGCAGAAGAGUCAGCAAGGAUCCCAGAAGGUUGCCGCUAUGCAUCAAUACACAGUCGUUUCACGCCACAGGUUUCAAUUACCGUAAUGCAAAGGUUGCGAGCUCUUCAAUUUAGGGAAUCUGGUUCACCUAUUAUGACUCUUUAUAGCGAGGCAAAAUGGUUACGCCUGUUGGAUUUACAUGAUUCCAAAAUUUCUAUGUUGNAAAGCAUUGGCGCGUGCGUUCCGGCCCCCACCAUAAUUAUUGGAGACACAGCACAAUAAUUGGAGCAAUCAUCUUCCACUGGUGGAGGAGCAUCCCCUUAUCAUCCUCUGCUUCUCUGUAGUAGGACGUUCGUAUUGAGAAGGAUUAGGCAGCAGCACGCGCGCGCGAUGGCGGAGGGGAUCGCAUUCGAAUUGGUGACGGGAGUGCUGGGCAAGCUGGGCUCCGCUCUCGGGGACGAAAUCGGGCUGCUGCGGAGCUUCAAGGACGACGCGGACGACCUCCGAAGCAACUUCUCUGCGAUCCAGGCGGUGCUUCUCGACGCCGAGGAGCGAAGCAGCGCUGGGAAGGAGAGCCACGCUCUGCGCGACUGGCUGCGCAAACUGAAGGACGCCGCCUACGACGCCGACGACCUGCUGGACGAGAUCCGGACGCAACAGCAGUACCCCGAGGUGCAGAAUCAUCAACACCAGCCAGCUGGAAAGGUACGUGGAUUUCUGUCCCGCGCUAAUCCGAUGCAUCUGAAGUUUAAGGUCAAGAUGGCGCACAGGAUGAAAGCGCUCAGAGAAAAGAUCGGUAAGAUCGCGAAACAGAGGCAUGAUUUCGGUCUUGCCGAAGCUGGCCCUCUUGGACAGGCUGAGUUCAAGCGCCCUGAGACAUUCUCGGUCGUCGACGAAAAGACAAUAGUGGGGAGAGAUGGUGAUAAAGAGGAAAUUGUGAACCUUCUCCUAGAGACUAACAGCGAUCACGACGUGUCGGUCAUUCCGAUCGUGGGAUUGGGGGGAUUGGGGAAGACGACGCUUGCUCAGCUGGCCUACAACGACGAGCGGGUUACGGACGAGCUGGUUACGGGCCAGAAGCGCUUUGAUCUACGGGUGUGGGUCUGCGUGUCUACCGAUUUCCACAUGAAGACGAUUGCAAAGCCGGUGAUAUCUGCAGCUGGAGAAAAUUGUGCUCUUGAUAACUCGGAUGCCGUUGCCACUUGCCUUGUCAGGAUCUUUAGCCAGAAGAGAUUUUUGCUGGUGCUGGAUGAUGUAUGGAACGAAGAUCAGAAUAAGUGGAAGGAAUUGAAUGUUGUAUUUAAGAACAGCAAGAAGGGAAGUAAAGUCUUAGUGACCACGCGGAGCGAAAAGGUUGCCGAGAUAAUGAAAACAGUCAAACCGCACCGUGUGAAAGGCUUAUCAGAUGAUGAUUGUUGGACAUUGUUCAAAAGACGGGUAUUCGAUGAUGGGGAAGAGAACUACUAUCCGAGUUUGGUCGCAAUCGGAAAGCAGAUAGUUAAGAAGUGCGGCGGUGUGCCGUUAGCAGCAAAUGCUUUAGGAAGUAUGAUGCGCUUUAAGAGCAGGACAGAGGAUGCAUGGUCCGCUAUUAGAGAUAGCGAAAUUUGGAGUCUGAAAGAAGAGAAAACUAUUUUACCAUCGUUAAAGUUGAGCUACAUUCAGAUGCCGUCGGCUUUGAAGCAGUGCUUUUGUGACGCCCCAACUUCCCAGGAGGUCACCCAUCCUAGGACUACUCCCGUCCUAGCACGCUUAACUCUCUUAACCUCUUAGGCCUUGCUACCACCCAAAAUGCUUAAGCUGGGUUAAGAGUUUAGCCCUAUUAUAUCUUGUAUAUAGGACUACCCGGGGUCUCACAGCUUUGCUUACUGCUCCAUAUUCCCCAAAGACUAUGAGAUUGACAAGGAUGACUUGAUCCGGCAAUGGAUUGCUUUAGGCUUCAUUUCAUCGCAUGAAACAUGGACUUCGACGGAAGAUAUUGGGAAUGAGUACUUUAACAAUCUAUUAUGGAUGUCUUUCCUUCAAGACGUGAAGGAAAAUUAUAGAAAGGUUACCACCUGUCGGAUGCAUGAUUUAGUGCACGACCUCGCACAAUCUGUAGCAAGAGAAGAAGUUGCUGCUAUAGUUGGAAAAGAGUCAACAGGGUUCCCGGAAGGUUGUCGCUAUGCAUCAAUACACAGUAGUUUCAUGCCACAGAUUCCAACCACAGUAGUGCGGAGGUUGCGAGCUCUUCAAUUUAGGAAAUCUGGUUCACUUAUUAUGGAUUUUUAUAGCGAUGCAAAAUGCUUAUGCCUGUUGGAUUUACAUGGUUCCAAAAUUUCUAUGCUGCCAAGCUCAAUCGGUAAGUUGAAGCUCAUANUAAGAUACCUCAACCUUUCGAAGAACAGUAUACAAGAAUUGCCUGAAUCAACUACCAGCCUCUGCAACUUGCAAACCUUGAAUCUUUCACGCUGCCGCGAGAUCCGUACAUUACCCAAAUUUCUAGGAAGGCUUACGAAUUUGCGGAUUUUAGAUUUAGGAGGUUGCCUAUCUCUGACAAUACUGGACUCCAUUAGCAACCUUCAGAAUUUGUACACACUAGAUUUGAGUUGGUGCCAAAAGGUGAUAUCACUUGAACCUAUAUGUCACCUCAAAAACCUGCAUGACUUAAACCUAUCAUGUCUAAAAUCUUUGGUGGCAUUACCUGAAUCCAUUGGGAGCCUUCAAAACUUGCGUAUUCUGAACCUUUCUUGGUGCUAUUCCCUACUAUCAUUACCCUCAUCGUUAUGUCACCUCAAAAACCUGCAUAGGUGCUCUUCUCUAGAAUCGUUACCCUCAUCGUUAUGUCACCUCAAAAACCUGCAUCACUUAAACCUAUCGUGUCUAAAUUCUUUGGUGGCAUUACCUGAAUCCAUUGGGAGCCUUCAAAACUUGCAUAUUCUGAACGUUUCUGAAUGCUCGUCUCUAGAAUCAUUACCCUCAUCGUCAAGUGAUCUUCAGCAUUUAGAGAAACUCGACAUCCGUGAUUGUGGAAAAUUAUGUGAGCUGCCUAAAAUGAUCCAAAAGCUGACCAAACUUAGAGUCUUGUUAAACAACAAUUGCUCGGAAUUGAAGGGCAUGCCCCGAGGGAUCGGCAAGUUAGUUAGCUUGCAGGAAUUGUCCGUUUUUGUCGUCGGCAAGCAAGACCGCGUCGAACAUUGUGCCAGCAUCUCUGAGCUAGAGCACUUGAAGCUUGUCGGCCAGCUGCGGAUCAAGGGUCUCGAGAAUGUGACGAGUCCGGUUGAUGCCAAGGCUGCAAAUUUGAUAGAGAAGAACCUGCGGUCUUUGAAGUUGGAAUGGAACGUUUUAAGCGCAGAAGAAGCCGUGUUAGAAAAUCUUCAACCACAUCAAAAGCUAGAGAAUUUGGAAAUAGGAGGCUAUGGAGGCGGGAAGUUUCCUAGCUGGAUGAUGAACAGGAUUGGCUCGUGCCUCCCAAAUCUCGUUAAAAUCAAACUAGCGAAUAUGCCCGGAUGCAGCUCACUUCCGCAGCUGGGGCAACUUCCUUUUCUUGAAGAACUGACUAUACGAAACAUGCCCGCGGUAACAAAUUUGGGCGUAGAUAAGUUCCCUGCGCUGACGACACUUGAGUUGUCCUCCAUGCCGGAGCUGCGAGAAUGGGUGACUGUGUUGACGGUGGAUGACGAAGAAGGCAGGCGAGAGCGAGUUCCCAUUUUUCCGCGUCUCACUCAAUUGUGGCUUAAAGGAUGUCCUCAAUUGAGGCCGGAGCCUUGCGUCCCGCCAUCGGUUAAGUAUCUGACCAUUUCUAGAGCAAGCAAGGAGAAUCUAUCGUUGAUACUCGAACGCGCGAUGCCAUUUGGAGGCGGUGAUGCCGCCGUUUCACCCCAACCGCCACCAGAUAAGGGGCUGCGGGAUCUAGUAAUAAACGAAUGUCAGCAGCUUACCUGUUUGCCCGAGAGCUUGCGGGGUCUCACGUCCCUCCAGCGGCUGAGAAUAUCUGAUUGUGAAGAUCUUGAGAGAAUUGAAGAUUGGCUCGGGGAGCUCUCCGACCUGCAGUCCUUGGAGAUCUGGGAGUGCAGCAGUCUCCGUUACUUGCCUGCGCACAAGAUGACCACACUUCAGGAGUUAGAUAUUAACAAGUGCCCCCUGUUGUUCGAUGCGGACGGACGAUUUGUCGACACCAGUGUCGAUCACAUCAAAAAUGUCGAAGUUGAUGGGAGGUAAUUAAUUUGGAACUCUGACUACUCUUUAAUUAAUGAGCUAGCACCUUAAUAUUCUAUUGUAGCUAGCAUGAACAUCUCGGUUUUUUUUUUNCUCUGCAACUUGCAAGCCUUGAAUCUUUCAGGCUGCCGUGAGAUCCGUACAUUACCCAAAUUUCUAGGAAGGCUUACGAAUUUGCGGAUUUUAGAUUUAAGGGAUUGCCCAUCUCUGACAAUACCUGACUCCAUUAGCAACCUGCAGAAUUUGUAUGCACUAAAUUUGAGUUUGUGCAAAAACGUGAUAUCACUUGAACCUAUAUGUCACCUCAAAAACCUGCAUUACCUAGACCUAUCAUAUCUAGAUUCUUUGGUGGCAUUACCUGAAUCCAUUGGAAGCCUUCAAAAUUUGCGUGGUCUCAACCUUUCUAGCUGCUCUUCUCUAGAAUGGUUACCCUCAUCAUUAUGUCACCUCAAAAACCUGCAUCUCUUAAACCUAUCAAAUCUAGAAUCUUUGGUGGCAUUACCUGAAUGCAUUGGGAGCCUUCAAAACUUGCGUAUUUUGAGCCUUUUUGGCUGCUCUUCUCUAAAAUCAUUACCCUCAUCAUUAUGUGAUCUCAAAAACCUGCAUGACUUAAACCUAUCACGUCUAAAAUCUUUGGUGGCAUUACCUGAAUCCAUUGGGAGCCUUCAAAACUUGCGUAUUCUGAAUGUUUCUAAAUGCUAUUCUCUACUAUCGUUACCCUCAUCGUCAAGUGAUCUUCAGCAUUUAGAGAAACUCGACAUCAGUGGUUGUAAAAAAUUAUGUGAGCUGCCUAAAAUGAUCCGAAAGCUGACCAAACUUAGGGUCUUGUUAAACAACAAGUGCUCAGAAUUGAAGGGCAUGCCCCGAGGGAUCAGCAAGUUAGUUAGCUUGCAGGAAUUGUCCGUUUUUGUCGUCGGCAAGCAAGACCGCGUGGAACAUUGUGCCAGCAUCUCUGAGCUCGAGCACCUUAAGCUUGUCGGCGAGCUGGAGAUCAAGGGUCUUGAAAAUGUGACGAGUCCGGUUCAUGCCAAGGCUGCAAAUUUGAUAGAGAAGAACCUGCGGAAUUUGAAGUUGGAAUGGAAAGUUUUAAGUGCGGAAGAAGGCACGGAUAGUACUGUACUACCGGUGGAAGAGAUCGAAACCGUGCUUGAAAAUCUUCAACCACAUCAAAAGCUAGAGAAUUUGAAAAUAGAAGGCUAUGGAGGCGGGAAGUUUCCUAGCUGGAUGAUGAAUAGGAUUGGCUCGUGCCUCCCUAAUCUACUUCAAAUCGAACUAGCGGAUAUGCCCGGAUGCAGCUCACUUCCGCAGCUGGGGCAACUUCCUUUUCUUAAAGAACUAACUAUACGAAAUAUGCCCGCAGUAACAAAUUUGGGGGUAGAUAAGUUCCCUGCGCUGACGAGACUUGACUUGUCCUCCAUGCCGGUGCUGCGAGAAUGGGUGACUGUGUUGACGGUGGACGACGAAGAAGGCAGGCGAGAGCGAGUUCCCAUUUUUCCGCGUCUCACUGGAUUGUGGCUUAAAGAAUGUCCUCAGUUGAGGCCGGAGCCUUGCCUGCCGCCAUCGGUUUUGAUUAUGAUCAUUUCUAGAACAAGCAGCGAGAAUCUAUCGUUAAUUCUCGAACGCGCGACGCCAUUUGGUGAUGGUAAUGCCGCCGUUUCACACCAACCGCCACCAGAUAAGGGGCUGCAGGAUCUAGUAAUAAACGAAUGUCAGCAGCUAACUUGUUUGCCCGAGAGCUUGCGGGGUCUCACGUCCCUCCAGCGCCUGGACAUAUGGGGUUGCCAUGAUCUUGGGAGAAUUGAAGAUUGGCUCGGGGAGCUCUCCGACCUGCAGUCCUUGACCAUCUCGAAGUGCCGCAGUCUCCGUUACUUGCCUGCCCGCAAGAUGGCCGCACUUCAGAUGUUAUCUAUCGGGAAUUGCCCGCUGUUGUUCGAUGCAGACGGACAAUUUGUCGACACCAGUGUCGAUCACAUCAAAGAAGUCUAUGUUAAUGGAAGGUAAUUAAUUUGGAACUCUGACUACUCUUUAAUUAAUUAGCUGGCUAGCACCUAAAUAUUAAUUCUAUCGUAGCUAGCAUAAACAUCUCUUUUUCUUUUUCUUUUUUUUUUCUAAAUAUUCGGAUGGAAAACUUUCAAUUAGCCCCACCGCACCUGAUUCAGAGCAUUUUCGUUUGCUAUGAAAUAUUUCAUUUUGCUAUUUUAUAGUUUUGUUUUUAUUUUCUUGCAAAAAUCUUCUACAAGAAAGAAAAAAGAAACAAAUUAAAGUGCUAAAAUGUAUGAAUUAUAAGGCUGUCAAUUAAUUUAUUUUACAAACCACAUAGGGACUGUGUGAAAUAUAUAUAUAUAAUCAUUUUAGUAUUUUAUGGUUUAUAAAUUUAUCACUUUAAUACUCCACUUUAAUUACUUGAGAUUGGAUAUAAUCAUAGGAUUUUCAAGUAAAACUAUUUAAAACGUAGUGUGGCAAAAAGAAAACACAUUAAACUACAUUUCAAUAUCAAAAGUGCAAUUAAGAUAUUCGAAAACAUGGUUGGUUUUCUGGAAAAAUUUUCAAGUGGUCUCUUGCAUGUGCAUAGACUAAUUAAUGAAAUUUUAAUCUUUUCUUAAUUUGUAGCGAUUUGAGAUGCCAGAAAAUUUCUACUUGAACGAUAUAUAGUAUUUACAAAGUAAUUAUUUUCAGUGAUAUUGUUGAUAUACUAUUUGAGUCCUUGGAUAUUUUUUUUUACAAAUUGAAAUUAGGUAUCUUAUAUAUCAUACAUUAUUAAAAUGUCUAAGCAAAAUGUCCAGCACAUGUUGCACGAGCGUCGGAUAAAAAAUAACCAUUUUGUGUUGUUGUGUUGUAGUUCUUACCGGUACAAGAAACAAGCGAGCAGCUCACCACAGGAGGAAGAGAGCUCAGCGAAGGAGGAGAAGAAGAUUGGUUAGCGAGNGAAAAAUUUCUACUUGAACGAUAUAUAGUAUUUACAAAGUAACUAUUUUUGGUCAUAUUGUUGAUAUAUUAUUCAAGUCCUGGAAUAUUUUUCUUUAUAAAUUGAAAUCAGGUAUGUUAUAUAUCAUACGUUAUUAGAAAGUCUAAGCAAAAUGUGCAGCACAUAUAUACUGCACGAGCGUCGAAUAAAAAAGUAACUAUUUUGUGUUGUUGUGGUGUAGAAAAUACCCGUACAAGGAACAAGCGAGCAGCUCGCCACAUGUGGAAGAGAGCUCACCGAAGGAGGAGGAGGAGAAGAAGAUUGGUUAGCGAGGAGAGCAUAAGUAUAUGUACCUAUUAUUUGGAGGUAAAAAGAUAUUAGAUAUUAUCUAAACUAUACUGCACUUUGAAAGCGGCCAAUUGGGCUUUACGAAAUUCGAUUUUAAUUCGAUUUUGACAUAAGAAAUUUUCUUUGAAAGAUUUGUUAGAUCCUUUUAGAAUUUAGUCUCUUCCGUUAAACAAAGUGCAGAAUGUUUCAUAAAAUAACAAAAUAUUUUUUUUAUCAAAUUUUAAAAUAUUUUAUCAAAAAAUGUUAAGUAACCUUUCAAAUUCUCUAUGGAACAUAAUAAACACGGCGGAAAGUUAGAGAGUAGAAUUAAAUUUUUUAAAGUUCNAUAUAUAUAUAUAUAUAUAUAUAUAUAUAUAAUUGAGCCAGAAUACUGUUAAAAGAACCAACCCCUUGGUACUUUUGAGUUUCUAGCCCUUGGAUCUACUCCUUGAUUAUUAAUAAUCUUUGAAUCAAACACUAUUCCACCUACCACCACUUACCACCAUCAUCUCAACCCUACAUCUUUCCAUUCAAUAGCUAAAAACUCAAAAGCACCAAUCCCUUGGUGCUUUUGAGAGUAUUCUAGUUCAACUCUUCCUCUCUCUCUCUCUCUCUCUCUCUCUAUAUAUAUAUAUAUAUUAGUAUUUUAUGGUUUAUAAAUUUUAGCACUUUAGUACUCUACUCUACUUUAGAUAGGUUCUUAUGAUCGUAUAUAAUUAAAAAAAAAAUCCAUAGGAUUUUCAAGUAAAACUAUUUAAAACGUAUGGCGGCAAAAUGAAAACGGGUUAAACCACAUUUCAAUAUCAAAAGUGCAGUUAAGAUAUUCGAAAACAUGGUUGGUUUUCUGGAAAAAAAUUCAAGUGGUCUCUUGCAUGUACAUAGAGUAAUUAAUGAAAUUUUAACCUUUUCUUAAUUUGUAGCGAUUUGAGAUGCUGGAAAAUUUCUACUUGAACGAUAUAUAGUAUUUACAAAGUAAUUAUUUUCGGUCAUAUUGUUAAUACACUAUUCAAGUUCUGGGAUAUUUUUCUUUACAAAUUGAAAUCAGCUAUGUUAUAUAUCAUACGUUAUUAGAAAGUCUAACCAAAAUGUACAAUACAUAUAUGCUGCACGAGCGUCGGAUAAAAAAGUAAUCAUUUUGUGUUGUUGUGCUGUAGAAAAUACCCGUACAAGGAACAAGCGAGCAGCUCACCACAUGUGGAAAAGAGCUCACCGAAGGAGGAGAAGGAGAAGAAGAUUGGUUAGCGAGGAGAGCAUAAGUAUAUAUACCUAUUAUUUGGAGGUAAAAGGAUAUUAGAUAUUAUAUCUAUACUAUACUGCACUUUGAAAGUGGCCAAUUGGGCUUUAUGAAUUUUGAUAUUAAUUCGAUUUUAAUUCAAUUUUGAUAUAAGAAAUUUUCUUUGAAAGAUUUGUUAGAUCUUUUUAGAAUUUAGUCUCUUCCGUUAAACAAAGUGCAGAAUGUUUCAUAAAAUAAAAAAUAAUUUUUUAAUCAAAUUUUAAAAUAUUUUAUCAAAAAAUGUUAAGUAUCUCAAAGGACCAUAAUAAGCACUGCGGAAAGUUAGAGAGUAGAAUUAAAUUUUUUAAAGUUCAGUUAUUUAUCUCAAAGCGUAGUAUAGCUCACGUAAGAAUCAUUCUCUUUUAGCUUAUUUGGUGAUCACUAUUCCCCUUUGAGAAGAGUUUUCUUUUUCCCUUUGUUUUGCCAAAAAUAAACAAAUUUUAUAUAUCUACAUGCAAUGGUGACAGUUUUUAUUCAUAAACUUGUGGCCUUCUCUUUCAAGUUGGUGCUAUUUAGCUUUCCGGACAAGAAUUGUAGUGUGCUGUUGUCGGGUUAAUAUAUAUUUGUGUUUUCGUGAUAUAAAUUUAGUUUCGGAAUGUACUAUUUUAUAAUUUGGUUUGAUUGUUGGUAAUUUUAUGGUGUUCUCUAUAUAUGUUAUGGGCUUGAAAAAGAUUGUUUGGUUUGAAUAAACAAAAUGUUGCUACUUUUUUAAUACGGAUAUUAGAGGGUACAUUAAUUUUUAAGUAAAUCUCACGUAGAGUUUAUUACUAGCUAGUAUAUAUGCAUUGUGUUACGAACUUGUUUAAAAUCAGAUGCUGUUUUUGGCAUGCAAGUUGAAGCUAGUAUAUAUGUAUGUACCGCAGUUGAGAGGGUUAAUUUCCAUCUAUGUUUACUUUAAUUUAUCUUUUCUUUUAUUUGAUUAGAUCCGAAUUAAGCCGAUAAAUUUUAAAGUAUUAAAAGUUUUAUUAUUUUGCUUUCUGCAAGAUUUUUAGUUUUUAAAUUCNUGAAGUACUAAAAUUUUAUUAAUUUUCUUUUCGCAAGAUUUUUAGUUUUUAAUUCCCCAAAUUCGAAAUCAAUUUAUUACUAAAAUCAAACUUGAGGUGCUUUUCCCAUUUGGUUUUCACGAAACGUGUGGUUUAAAUGGGAAUAUAGAUUUAUGUUGCCGCACAAUUUAAUUUAUUUGAUUUAAGCGAUUUGAUUACUUUUUUAAUAUAAAAUUUAGAAUAAUUAUUUAUUUCAAUAAAUUUAUAUUUGCAUAAUUAAAAAUAUAUUUAAAAUUUUAAAGUCAAAGAGUCAUUAGUUGAUUUAAAUCAAAUAAAUUAAAAGAUUAUAUAGCAAAAUUAAAAUUUUUAAAGAUUAGAUAAUCAGAUUAAAAGAACUGACAGUCGGGGCGAGUUAUAUAAAUUUUUGACUUUUUUAUCCAAGAAAUCUGGAAAAUUAAAAGAGGUAUUUACUUCAAAAUAUGUUAAACUAUUAUUAUUAUUAUUAUUAUUAUUAUUUUACCAUAAAGCAUUUUCGAGAACCUAACAUUUGGGACCAACCGUAAAAAUAAUAAGAAAAAUUGUGCGAAAUUAACUGAAAAUUUAUUUUAUUGAAAAUCUCACCGUGAAUUUUUUUUUUUAUUGUCUAUUCUUUCUGAUUUGAGUUUGCUUUUCUUCUUCUUUUUUUUUGGGAAAAUGCAGUAUGCAUAAUUGAUCCUUGAUUUAUACUAUAGUUUCAGCUUAACAACUGGAAAAAAAAAUGCUAUAAAAAUUAAAUAUGUGGAUAAAAUAUUAAGGUAUCGCAUAAAUAUAACCGCAUAGUUCUUCAAUAACAAUUAAGCACAAUUUUAUAGCUUCGGACGAGAAAAGAUUAGAAGCAGUUUUAAAAUUUUUGGACCUUUCAAAAUAUGAAAAUGUUGCUUCUUACCACUACGUUCCUAAAGAAAGUUGGGUUAGUUGCAAUUUUUUAUACUUACGAAUUAAAUGAAUGAAAUACAAUAAAAAGAAAAUAUUAAGGAUGAAUAAAACCUUGGUGCAUCACCUGUUUGGAUGCACCAGGUGUAGGCAGUGAUUUUUCAUAAAACGAAAUCGUAAAGCGUUAAAGAAUAGGUAGUCAAAUUAAUUUAAAUUUUUAAAUAUUAGAUAAUUAAUUUCAAAUUAUAAAAGUUCAGAUUAAUUAAGUACAUUUUUAUACCCAAAAAUUAAACACAGCAACAACAACAACAACAUGACCACUGCAAAGAGGGGUCUUUCUUUCUCAUAAAGAACAGGGCAUCCCGUGCACCAAGAUACGAAUUUGGUUGAUCAAGAGAGAAAAUUUUGGCUCUCCAAUAGAUAGAACAAAAACUUGCUGCAUACAAUUGUGGAGCAAAGCCUUUUUUAAAAUAAAAAAGGUGAUAAAACCUUAAUUAGCAAGAGAUGUUUUAUGUACGAAAUUAUUUUUAUUUUUAUUUUUUAAGAGAUAGGUAGCACGCCACCUACUUCGUUUAUUUCAUUUAGAAAUAAACUUAGCUGAAAAUAUGAAUCAACUAGGAUUCGAACUUGGGUCUCGGGUACUAACCACUAAGCCCUUUGCCACUUGCUUUAGGAACGGUCGGUUAUGUACGAUAAAUUAACAAGUGCAUUUAUGUAUGGUAACUUGGUAACGGUUAUACCUUCCUACUUGUACUGUUUGGAUUCAUUAGUGAUAUUUGCAGUUUGUUAUGAAUGCAUUAAGCAGUGCAAUGUGUACGUAUGCUUCAAAAGCUAGGUGUUUCGCCAAAUAAUUAAUCGAAUGGUUUAAGCUAGGUGUGUUGCCCAAAGAUUCAAAUAAAUGGUUCAAGUUAGGGGUUUUUUAAAAAAAUUCUUGUUAAGUAUUGGAUGGAUCUUUGCUUCAAUCUGAGCAGUUUUGGAGUUAACAGCUUGUUUUGGAUACUCUCUAAUACUAUUUUUUGAAAUAGAGUUGUUACUGUUAAGUGUUAAAUAUAAAAAUGUUUAAAUACCGUUUUCUAACAAUUUAAGCUUUUAGAGUACAACGGUUAUUUCACAUGGUAUCAGAGCAGGAGGUUCUAAGUUCGAGUCACGCUAGGCUCCUAGCAUAUUAAUUUUCUUCCAUUUAAUUCAAGCCCACGUCAUGGGCCGAUUAAAAAGUUUUGAGCCCAGACGUGAGGGGGAGUGUUAAGUGUUAAAUAUAAAAAUGUUUAAACACCGUUCUCUAAGUACAACGGUUGUUUCACAGUUACUACAGUUACUCCUCUUGUUGAUG
RNAcentral lists this long non-coding RNA (16939 nucleotides) under Ananas comosus (pineapple). RNAcentral describes it as "long non-coding RNA (ACOM_LNC007763)". The record is from RNAcentral. Lineage: Eukaryota; Viridiplantae; Streptophyta; Magnoliopsida; Poales; Bromeliaceae.